RNAcentral lists this non-coding RNA (29 nucleotides) under Homo sapiens (human). The record is from RNAcentral. Lineage: Eukaryota; Metazoa; Chordata; Mammalia; Primates; Hominidae.
UCGGUUUCUCUCUGGUCUUACAUGAUGCA